AUCCAUGAUGGCCGAGAAUUAGGCACCGAGCUUUUAACUCGACUACAGUUAUCACUUCUGGAUA
RNAcentral lists this transfer RNA (64 nucleotides) under Popenaias popeii. RNAcentral's name for it is "tRNA-Lys". Lineage: Eukaryota; Metazoa; Mollusca; Bivalvia; Unionida; Unionidae. The record is from RNAcentral.